GCCGCUAUGGUGAAAUCGGUAGACACAGGAGACUCAAAAUCUCCCGCUCGUGAGGGCGUGGCGGUUCAAAUCCGUCUAGCGGCACCA
RNAcentral lists this transfer RNA (87 nucleotides) under Betaproteobacteria bacterium. RNAcentral's name for it is "tRNA-Leu". It matches the Rfam family "tRNA". From Rfam's summary of the family: Transfer RNA (tRNA) molecules are approximately 80 nucleotides in length. Their secondary structure includes four short double-helical elements and three loops (D, anti-codon, and T loops). The record is from RNAcentral. Lineage: Bacteria; Pseudomonadati; Pseudomonadota; Betaproteobacteria.